Molecule: long non-coding RNA, 550 nt
Filed under: Phoenix dactylifera (date palm)
Lineage: Eukaryota; Viridiplantae; Streptophyta; Magnoliopsida; Arecales; Arecaceae
Description: long non-coding RNA (PDAC_LNC021949)
Source: RNAcentral
UAUUUGAUCCUUGGCUAAGCUAUAUGAAAACAUGGUUAGGCCUAAUAAUAAUAAUAAUAAAAGAAAGCAUGGUUAGGAACAUUUGUUGUAUGUUUCUAUUUCCUUUUCAGUGAAAAAGGGAAUUGUCUGUUAGUCUUUGGGAUUAAUGUAGCCAUCCCUUAAGCCUUCAGUAUUGUCUGUGCUCAGUGAUAACAGAGCAAAUGACCCAAAUAAAGCCUGUAAUAUUAGUGAAAGCCACAGAAAAAGUCUAGACUUUGCUACUGUUGCCCGGAAUUAGAUGCACGGAGGAAGAAUAUUUUAUACCUCCCUCUAUCAAUCACUAUUCCUUGUAGGCUUUUUAUGACGUGGUAGCAGCGUAUGUUCCGCUUGUUAUUCCGGCAGAUAUUCCCAUUGGCUACCUGACUGAAAACCCCUUCCAAUUUUAAACACCACAAGGCUAUUUCCAACUUCAAUGCAUGACCUGGUAGGUAUUAGGACUUGUCUCCAUUAUAACUAGAAAUAAAAUAAAGUGAGGAUGAUGCUGUAAUCAAGAUUAUCUCCGCCUUGUAAA